UGAUGGUAGCAUCCAUUGUCCCAAUACAUGUGUCAUGGGUGGAAAUGUAGAAUACAGAUCUGAUCCAAUCUCUAGUGGGGCAAAAAAGACAAAGGAUGGAGUGAAGUUAGAGGAGUUAGUUUAUAACCUUACUGCACUGAAGGUGGCUAUUAUUCUUCAACUGGUUCUGGUUAUUUUUGUUGUCAUUCUCUGGUGUUUUCAUUGCCGUAAGAGAUAUAGAAGGAGGUAUUACCGUUGAACAGAUGUUGUCCUUAUUGUUUGCCUAUUUUAAACCCCAGGACUCAUUUCAUAAAUUGGGAACUUC
Prosopis cineraria is the source of this 304-nucleotide long non-coding RNA. RefSeq lists it as uncharacterized. NCBI's taxonomy places the organism in Eukaryota, Viridiplantae, Streptophyta, Magnoliopsida, Fabales, Fabaceae. The record is from RefSeq and is a predicted model, not a curated record. The transcript is spliced from 3 exons.